Molecule: ribosomal RNA, 415 nt
Filed under: uncultured bacterium
Lineage: Bacteria
Description: bacterial SSU rRNA
Rfam family: Bacterial small subunit ribosomal RNA
Source: RNAcentral
AUUGAACGCUGGCGGCAUGCGUAACACAUGCAAGUCGAACGGUGUUUGGUGCUUGCACCAGACAUAGUGGCGGACGGGUGAGUAAUGCGUAGGAAUCUGUCUUAGAGAGGGGGACAACCCGAGGAAACUUGGGCUAAAACCGCAUAUUCUCGAGAGAGGAAAGCAGGGGACCGGAAACGGCCUUGUGCUCUAAGGUGAGCCUACGUCGGAUUAGCUAGUUGGUAGGGUAAAAGCCUACCAAGGCGAUGAUCUGUAGCUGGUCUGAGAGGACGGACAGCCACACUGGGACUGAGACACGGCCCAGACUCCUACGGGAGGCAGCAGUGGGGAAUAUUGGACAAUGGGGGAACCCUGAUCCAGCGAUGCCGCGUGUGUGAAGAAGGCCUGCGGGUUGUAAAGCACUUUCAGUGGGAAA